RNAcentral lists this transfer RNA (61 nucleotides) under Ictidomys tridecemlineatus (thirteen-lined ground squirrel). RNAcentral describes it as "Spermophilus tridecemlineatus (thirteen-lined ground squirrel) tRNA". It matches the Rfam family "tRNA", at positions 6 to 65 of the family's 71-position model. Rfam says of the family: Transfer RNA (tRNA) molecules are approximately 80 nucleotides in length. Their secondary structure includes four short double-helical elements and three loops (D, anti-codon, and T loops). Lineage: Eukaryota; Metazoa; Chordata; Mammalia; Rodentia; Sciuridae. The record is from Rfam by way of RNAcentral.
UGUAGCUCAGUGGUAGAGUACUUGCUUGGCAGGUGCAAGACUCUGGGUUCAAUCCCCAGUA